This 497-nucleotide ribosomal RNA is filed under the name uncultured bacterium. Its description in RNAcentral is "partial 16S ribosomal RNA". It matches the Rfam family "Bacterial small subunit ribosomal RNA", at positions 28 to 507 of the family's 1533-position model. The record is from RNAcentral.
GAUGAACGCUGGCGGCGUGCCUAAUACAUGCAAGUCGAGCGAACACACGAGGAGCUUUCUCCUCUGACGUUAGCGGCGGACGGGUGAGUAACACGUGGAUAACCUACCUAUAAGACUGGGAUAACUUCGGGAAACCGGAGCUAAUACCGGCUAACAUGUUCAACCGCUUGGUUCAACAGUGAAAGACGGUCUUGCUGUCACUUAUAGCUGAAUCCGCGCCGCAUUAGCUAGUUGGUAAGGUAACGGCUUACCAAGGCAACGAUGCGUAGCCGACCUGAGAGGGUGAUCGGCCACACUGGAACUGAGACACGGUCCAGACUCCUACGGGAGGCAGCAGUAGGGAAUCUUCCGCAAUGGGCGAAAGCCUGACGGAGCAACGCCGCGUGAGUGAAGAAGGUCUUCGGAUCGUAAAACUCUGUUAUUAGGAAAGAACAAAUGUGUAAGUAAAUAUGCACGUCUUGACGGUACCUAAUCAGAAAGCAACGGCUAACUACGUG